UUUUUCCAACCAAUAGAAAACCUUUUUCGUCUGCCAGCACGACAAAAUCAACUAAAUUCUUCUGUCCAUAGGAUGAUUUUUGGUUUCAUCUACAAGGUAGACGGCCUACAAAUAUUUUUGUAAAUUCAUCAUUUGAGGGCUUAUUAAUGUAAAUGGCAUAUUAUUUAAUAUUUUAAUAGUAGAAAGCUUAGACAAAAUAUAGACGGACAUACCGUCACUCCAGCCUCCACUGAAAGACCGAGAAGGUGUGUGCCCCCCACGCAUAGCCUCUUAUCCAUCCAACCAAGCAAAUUAAGUGUAUUUGAUAUUGGAAUCUUCAUUUUCCUUCUUAAUACUUGCUUAUUCCCCUAUUUUUAUAAAAACAUCCAAAUUAUCCCCUCAAAUAUGGCCAGAGUCCAGAUAACCCUGUAUUUUUUUUGUUUAGUUAUUCAAAUGACUAUACCAAUUUACCCCUUAAUAAGAUUUCACUAUUUUUGUUUCUCUUAGCACAAGAGGAGUUUUAAGUUAAAGUUUUGCGGGAUGAUAUUAGGAAUAUUAUAACUUAUGUUAAAAUAUACUAUAAAGUUUUCAUCAUUAUUUUGGUAGGAAAUAAAUUAUAAUAUUGAAUACAAACUUUAUAAAAUUAAUGAUGAACAAUUUAUAAAAUAUUUUUAGCAUAACUCAUGAUGUCCACUAUCACCAAAUAAAAUUUAAAUUUAAAACUCCACUUGUACAUAGAGACAUUGAAUCACUUGAUAUAAUUGUGCG
RNAcentral lists this long non-coding RNA (747 nucleotides) under Setaria viridis. RNAcentral's name for it is "long non-coding RNA (SVIR_LNC001507)". The record is from RNAcentral. Lineage: Eukaryota; Viridiplantae; Streptophyta; Magnoliopsida; Poales; Poaceae.